UACGGAGGGGGCAAGCGUUGUUCGGAAUUACUGGGCGUAAAGGGCGCGUAGGCGGCCUGCUAAGUCGAACGUGAAAUCCCUGGGCUCAACCCAGGAACUGCGUCCGAUACUGGUUGGCUUGAAUCCGGGAGAGGGACGUGGAAUUCCAGGUGUAGCGGUGAAAUGCGUAGAUAUCUGGAGGAACACCGGUGGCGAAGGCGACGUCCUGGACCGGCAUUGACGCUGAGGCGCGAAAGCUAGGGGAGCAAACGGG
Molecule: ribosomal RNA, 253 nt
Filed under: uncultured bacterium
Lineage: Bacteria
Description: partial 16S ribosomal RNA
Rfam family: Bacterial small subunit ribosomal RNA
Source: RNAcentral